AUGUUCCUUGGAACAGGACGUCACAGAGGGUGAGAAUCCCGUGCGAUGAGAUGCCCAAUUCUAUGUAAAGUGCUUUCGAAGAGUCGAGUUGUUUGGGAAUGCAGCUCUAAGUGGGUGGUAAAUUCCAUCUAAAGCUAAAUAUUGGCGAGAGACCGAUAGCGAACAAGUACAGUGAUGGAAAGAUGAAAAGAACUUUGAAAAGAGAGUGAAAAAGUACGUGAAAUUGUUGAAAGGGAAGGGCUUGAGAUCAGACUUGGUAUUUUGCGAUCCUUUCCUUCUUGGUUGGGUUCCUCGCAGCUUACUGGGCCAGCAUCGGUUUGGAUGGUAGGAUAAUGACUAAGGAAUGUGGCUCUACUUCGGUGGAGUGUUAUAGCCUUGGUUGAUACUGCCUGUCUAGACCGAGGACUGCGUCUUUUGACUAGGAUGUUGGCAUAAUGAUCUUAAGCCACCCGUCUUG
RNAcentral lists this ribosomal RNA (457 nucleotides) under Debaryomyces sp. RNAcentral describes it as "partial large subunit ribosomal RNA". It matches the Rfam family "Eukaryotic large subunit ribosomal RNA", at positions 183 to 656 of the family's 3401-position model. Lineage: Eukaryota; Fungi; Ascomycota; Pichiomycetes; Serinales; Debaryomycetaceae. The record is from RNAcentral.